AAACAAGAUGUUGAGUGUGACUGGGUGGAAGCCGCUGACUUGUCCCUGGCACAAGUGUGCUGAUAUCCCCUCCCCCUCCUUCCUCACAUCCUGCAUCUCAGCGAGAAUUGGCGUGCUGGGGUUAGCUGUGUGGCCAUCACCCCAGGCCCAGGUGAAGCCCUCGAUCAGGUGAGGCCAUGAUCCCAAGGAGUGUUUAAGCUCAGAUCCUGCCUCUUCCCUGCUUUCUGCCGAGAAGCGGGACCUCCUCUGUGGAAAAUAUCCAGCUGGGCGAGCCUGGGAGGCAGGAGGUGAGUGGGGCCGGACUCAGGGACCAACUCUUCCCGUCUCAUGACUGUGUUUACUGGGCUGGAUUUUGAGAAGGGGCCAGAUUGCAUCAGACAGGGCCUAAUGGGCUGGAGCCAGACUGUGGUCUGAGGAGGAGACACAGCCUUAUAAGCUGAGGGAGUGGACUGGGAGUGGAGAGGCACGGGGCCAGGAAAGCAGAGAAAGACAAAGCGUUAGGAGAAGAAGACAGGCAGGGAGGACAAGCCAGGCACGAUGGCCACCUUCCCACCAGCAACCAGCGCCCCCCAGCAGCCCCGAGGCCCAGAGGACGAGGACCCCAGCCUGGAUGAAUCUGACCUCUACAGCCUGGCCCAUUCCUACCUGGGAGGUGGAGGCCGGAAAGGUCGCACCAAGAGAGAAGCUGCUGCCAACACCAACCGCCCCAGCCCUGGCGGGCACGAGAGGAAACUGGUGACCAAGCUGCAGAAUUCAGAGAGGAAGAAGCGAGGGGCACGACGCUGAGACAGAGCUGGAGAUGAGGCCGGACCAUGGACACUACACCCAGCAAUGGAGACAGGACUGCGGAGGAAGGAAGAACCAAGACAGGAUCCAGGCCAGCUUGCCACACCCCCCACCCCUGGGACUUAUCCCCGCUGACUGAGUCUCUGAGGGGCUACCAGGAAAGCACCUCCAACCCCAGCAAAAGUGCAAGAUGGGGAGUGAGAGGAAGGGAAUGGAGAGGCAGAGCCAGGAAGAUACCCCCAGAAAAGAAAGCUACAGAAGAAGCUGGGGCUCCUCUAGGGCAGCAGCACCAAUAAAUAGACGCGCACGGCAGCCAC
Macaca fascicularis (crab-eating macaque) is the source of this 1103-nucleotide long non-coding RNA. Lineage: Eukaryota; Metazoa; Chordata; Mammalia; Primates; Cercopithecidae. The record is from Ensembl.